RNAcentral lists this long non-coding RNA (609 nucleotides) under Homo sapiens (human). RNAcentral's name for it is "non-protein coding lnc-KIAA1328-12:1". The record is from RNAcentral. Lineage: Eukaryota; Metazoa; Chordata; Mammalia; Primates; Hominidae.
UGGAAUCUGAUGCUAUCUUCAGGUUGAUAGUGUUAGAAUCAAGCUGGAGAACACCCAGCUGGUAACUGCUGCAGAAUUGAUUGCUUACUCAGUUUCUGGGGAAAAACUCCCACACAUUUGGUCAACAAAGUCUUCUCUAUUUAUCGUCAUUGUGGGUGAGAACAGAGAAAAAAAAAAACAUGGCUUGAUUUUGUAUUUCCUCUACUAACGGAAGAAAAGGGAACACUUAUACACUGUUGGUGGGAUUGUAAACUAGUAUAGACAUUACAGAGAACAGUAUGGAGGUCCCUCAAAAAAUUAAAAAUAUGUCUACCAUAUGAUUCUGCAAUCUCACAACUGGGUAUGUAUCCAAAGGAAAUAAAAUCAGUAUGUUGAAGAGUUAUCUGCACUUCCGUGUUCAUUGCAGCACUACUUACAAUAGCUAAGAUGUGGGAUCAACGUAAGCAUCCACAACAGAUGAAUAGAUAAAGAAAAUGUGGUACAUAUACACAGAGGUAUACUACUCACCCAUAAAAAGGAAUGAAAUACUGUCAUGUACAAUAAUAUUGAUGAAGCUGGAGGGGAAUCUUGAUAAGUGAAAUAAGCCAGACACGGUGAAACAAAUACCAC